RNAcentral lists this ribosomal RNA (468 nucleotides) under uncultured bacterium. Its description in RNAcentral is "partial 16S ribosomal RNA". It matches the Rfam family "Bacterial small subunit ribosomal RNA", at positions 28 to 507 of the family's 1533-position model. The record is from RNAcentral.
GACGAACGCUGGCGGCGUGCUUAACACAUGCAAGUCGAACGGAAAGGCCCUGCUUUUGUGGGGUGCUCGAGUGGCGAACGGGUGAGUAACACGUGAGUAACCUGCCCUUGACUUUGGGAUAACUUCAGGAAACUGGGGCUAAAAUCGGAUAUGAUCUCCUGCUGCACGGUGGGGGUUGGAAAGAUUCGGCGGUUGUGGAUGGACUCGCGGCUUAUCAGCUUGUUUGUGGGGUAGUGGCUUACCAAGGCUUUGACGGGUAGCCGGCCUGGGAGGGGUACCGGCCACAAUGGGACUGAGAUACGGCCCAGAAUCCUACGGGCGGCAGCAGUCGGAAAUAUUGCACAAUGGGCGGAAGCCUGAUGCAGCAACGCCGCGUGCGGGAUGACGGCCUUCGAGUUGUAAACCGCUUUCGACUGUGCCGAAGCGUGAGUGACGGUAAUGGGUAAAGAAGCACCGGCUAACUACGUG